ACGGAGGGUGCAAGCGUUAUUCGGAAUUAUUGGGCGUAAAGGGUGCGUAGGCGGUUUUGUAAGUCAGAUGUGAAAUCCCGGGGCUUAACCUCGGAACUGCAUUUGAUACUGCACAACUUGAGUAUGGGAGAGGGUGGCGGAAUUCCUGGUGUAGGAGUGAAAUCCGUAGAUAUCUGGAGGAACAUCAGUGGCGAAGGCGGCCACCUGGACCGGUAUUGACGCUGAGGUGCGAAAGCGUGGGGAGCAAACAG
RNAcentral lists this ribosomal RNA (251 nucleotides) under uncultured prokaryote. RNAcentral's name for it is "partial 16S rRNA". It matches the Rfam family "Bacterial small subunit ribosomal RNA", at positions 525 to 775 of the family's 1533-position model. The record is from RNAcentral.